Molecule: ribosomal RNA, 516 nt
Filed under: Phaeocystis antarctica
Lineage: Eukaryota; Haptophyta; Phaeocystales; Phaeocystaceae
Description: partial Bacterial small subunit ribosomal RNA
Rfam family: Bacterial small subunit ribosomal RNA
Source: RNAcentral
GUUUGAUCAUGGCUCAGAUUGAACGUUGGCGGCAGGCCUAAUACAUGCAAGUCGAGCGGAAACGAUGGGAGCUUGCUUCCAGGCGUCGAGCGGCGGACGGGUGAGUAACGCGUAGGAAUCUACCCAGUAGCGGGGGAUAGCCAGUGGAAACGCUGAUUAAUACCGCAUACGCCCCACGGGGGAAAGGGGGGGAACUCUUCGGAGACCUCUCACUAUUGGAGGAGCCUGCGUUGGAUUAGCUAGUUGGUAGGGUAAAGGCCUACCAAGGCGACGAUCCAUAGCUGUUCUGAGAGGAAGAUCAGCCACACUGGAACUGAGACACGGUCCAGACUCCUACGGGAGGCAGCAGUAGGGAAUAUUGCACAAUGGGCGAAAGCCUGAUGCAGCCAUGCCGCGUGUGUGAAGAAGGCCUUAGGGUUGUAAAGCACUUUCAGUAAGGAAGAAAAAGCUGGGUUAAUACCUCGGUUUAUUGACAUUACUUACAGAAGAAGUACCGGCUAACUCCGUGCCAGCAGC